CACAUUUGCAUGGACGGCCCCUCCCCUGGCAGAGGAUGGGGAGAAAAGGAGGCCUGGGCAGCCCAGCCCCACUGUGGGCUCAGGGGCUGUGUGCACCAUGGCCUGGACUCCUCUCCUCCUCGUGCUCCUCUCUCACUGCACAGGUUCCCUCUCCCAGCUUGUGCUGACUCAGCCGCCCUCCCUCUCUGCAUCUCCCGGAGCAUCAGCCAGACUCACCUGCACCCUCAGCAGUGGCUCCAGUGUUGGCGGCUACUACAUAUACUGGUUCCAGCAGAAGCCAGGGAGUCCUCCCAAGUUCCUCCUGUGGUAUAAAUCAGACUCAGAGAAGUACCAGGGCUCCGGGAUCCCCAGCCGCUUCUCUGGAUCCAAGGACGCCUUGGCCAACGCAGGGCUCCUGACCAUCUCUGGGCUGCAGCCUGAGGACGAGGCUGACUAUUACUGUGCUACACAUGAAGGUAGCGGGAGCAGCUUCAGCUAUUCACAGUGA
Non-coding RNA from Phyllostomus discolor (pale spear-nosed bat), 487 nucleotides. The record is from the annotation of a RefSeq genome assembly. NCBI's taxonomy places the organism in Eukaryota, Metazoa, Chordata, Mammalia, Chiroptera, Phyllostomidae.